Long non-coding RNA from Anneissia japonica, 1280 nucleotides. RefSeq lists it as uncharacterized. NCBI's taxonomy places the organism in Eukaryota, Metazoa, Echinodermata, Crinoidea, Comatulida, Comatulidae. The transcript is spliced from 2 exons. The record is from RefSeq and is a predicted model, not a curated record.
AUGAUGGAGGACGACAACGAGGAAUAGUUGAUCAUGGAAGUUCAAAAUAAUCCAAUUCUGUAUGCUUCUAACUGCUCAUUGUAACAUUUAAAUAUUGUACUGCUGUCUUCUGUAAAAGUUGUGCAGCACACAUGUUAGUAGACACGCCACCUUGAAGCAACAGUUCUUUUUUUCACUACCCUACAAGCUCUGGAUAGCCUUAAUUAUAUAUUUUCUUCCUGUCUUCAAAACUGUGUCCAGCGUAGGGUCUCAUAAUACGUUUUACAGGAACGACCUCAUAUCCAAAAAUGAUAUGAGGGACAAUGUUUGGUGAUCCUGGUAGUGGUUUGUCAGCUGGCAAAGACAGUGCUUGUAGAGCUUUUGUCAUCAGUACCACAGAGAUAGUACUUCAUAAAAUGUUGAGCCAGAAUUGGGAGGGGCUUGAAUCACUAGAUGUUUGUUAUCUAUGGCACCAAUGCAGUUUGUGAACUGCCAUUGUUUCUGGAAUUCCAUGUACUGUGGCUUUAAAUGACAGCAAAUAGCCUUGCAAUCCUCAGGUACAAUGCCAACAAUUGUUGACUUGCCAACUCUAUACUAAAUAUUGUUUUGUAUGAAUCACCAGUAGCCAAGUAUCUGUAGUUGCAAAAUUUGGAAGGACGGAAAAGGAAACACUCAUUGAGAUGGAUCCUGAAACAUUGAUCUCCGAUGCAACGUGUGCUGGCAUGUAUGUUUGUUUCUGUGUCGGCGUGGAGCACACAGCUGAAGAAACUAACAGCGAAAAUGUACAAUGUGCAUUUUCUAUGCUCAUGGAAAGCUCCAGAAACAUGAGCUUUGUGCCUGCUGCUACAGAAAAUCCAUUUAACAACAAAAUCAAACUUUCAAACCAUAUCAUUCAGUGGCUAAAGGAUAAUCUACUAGGAUGGUCGAUGCAAUGUGCUGAAUCUGUUGGAAGGGAUUUUGUAGACAAACUCACUGAUGUUUUAUGGUACAUUGAUGGCCGCAAGGAAACAUUGGCAUCACGUUCCCAUUCCUGAUGUGUCUGUACUGCAAAGUUUUUGGAGCUUUCCAUAUGAAAUUUUAACGGGUUUUGUGAAUAAAAUAUAAUUAUUCAAUAACUGUAAUGUCUGAGAUUCUUACAUUUGAGUAUGUCAACUAUUUUUGAUGCAUGUACAGUAGAAGCUGUAUUAAGAUUCCUCAAGCUGCAUACUCCUUGUUCCGCCUUUCAAUGGAUUCAUGAGUAUUUUACAAGUUUCUGCUGUUUCGAAUUUAAAUGCCGGCAUGGAGAAAAAAAAAAAAAAAAA